GCCCGGGUAGCUCAGUGGUAGAGCAGACGACUGAAAAUCGUCGUGUCGGUGGUUCGACUCCGCCCCUGGGCA
Non-coding RNA from Citromicrobium sp. RCC1885, 72 nucleotides. The record is from Rfam. NCBI's taxonomy places the organism in Bacteria, Pseudomonadati, Pseudomonadota, Alphaproteobacteria, Sphingomonadales, Sphingomonadaceae.